UUUCUGGAAAACAGCAUUCAAUAUUGAACGCCCACACUUAUCGGUUGUUGGAAGAAGUCGGUGCUAACCGACAUGGGUCUGUAGCUCAGCUGGUUAGAGCACCGUCUUGAUAAGGCGGGGGUCGUUGGUUCGAGCCCAACUAGACCCACCAAAUCUUCCGAACAUAAGAUGCGAGGAUCAGUGGGGGAUUAGCUCAGCUGGGAGAGCACCUGCUUUGCAAGCAGGGGGUCGUCGGUUCGAUCCCGUCAUCCUCCACCAACCAAUACGCUCUGCGGUAGGG
RNAcentral lists this transfer RNA (280 nucleotides) under Paracidovorax citrulli. RNAcentral's name for it is "Acidovorax citrulli partial 16S-23S ribosomal RNA intergenic spacer". The stretch from base 75 to 148 matches the Rfam family "tRNA". The record is from RNAcentral. Lineage: Bacteria; Pseudomonadati; Pseudomonadota; Betaproteobacteria; Burkholderiales; Comamonadaceae.